GCCCUCGUGGCCCAACUGGCAGAGGCGGCGGCGGCAUGAGGUGCCGCAGGUUCCGCGUUCGAGUCUCGGCGAGGGCA
RNAcentral lists this transfer RNA (77 nucleotides) under Micromonospora globispora. Its description in RNAcentral is "tRNA-Leu". Lineage: Bacteria; Bacillati; Actinomycetota; Actinomycetes; Micromonosporales; Micromonosporaceae. The record is from RNAcentral.